This 253-nucleotide ribosomal RNA is filed under the name uncultured bacterium. Its description in RNAcentral is "partial 16S ribosomal RNA". It matches the Rfam family "Bacterial small subunit ribosomal RNA", at positions 524 to 776 of the family's 1533-position model. The record is from RNAcentral.
UACAGAGGGUGCGAGCGUUAAUCGGAAUUACUGGGCGUAAAGCGUGCGUAGACGGUUUCGUAAGUCGGGUGUGAAAUCCCCGGGCUCAACCUGGGAAUUGCAUUCGAAACUGCGAGGCUAGGGUACGGAAGAGGGAAGCGGAAUUUCUGGUGUAGCGGUGAAAUGCGUAGAUAUCAGAAGGAACAUCAGUGGCGAAAGCGGCUUCCUGGUCCAGUACCGACGUUCAGGCACGAAGGCGUGGGGAGCAAACAGG